This 68-nucleotide transfer RNA is filed under the name Stenocercus orientalis. Its description in RNAcentral is "tRNA-Gln". The record is from RNAcentral. Lineage: Eukaryota; Metazoa; Chordata; Lepidosauria; Squamata; Tropiduridae.
UAGAAAGACGGGACACGACCCCGCACCUAAAGACUCAAAACCUUUAGCACUCCUUUAUACUACUUCCU